RNAcentral lists this long non-coding RNA (732 nucleotides) under Capsicum annuum. Its description in RNAcentral is "long non-coding RNA (CANN_LNC020910)". The record is from RNAcentral. Lineage: Eukaryota; Viridiplantae; Streptophyta; Magnoliopsida; Solanales; Solanaceae.
AAAACUUAAGUAUAAAAGCAGUAUUAAGUAAAGAGAGAUUAAUCAACUUACAAAUUUUAUUUAUGAAAACAUUGAAAACAGUACAAGAGAUGGUAGUACAGGAGAGAUCGGGCAAGAGAAUUUCUUAUAUGUGGAAAUUUCUGAAUGCCGUCUCUAAUGAUUUACAAUGCCUUAUAUAGGCAAUAAGAGAGUAUGAUCAUCAUACAAGUGGACGGCUAAGAUGUUGCCGACAUAAAUAAGUGAUUACUUUUCUAAAAGUAAAAGAAUCAAGUCUGCUUUUUGAAAAGCAGUAGAAUAGUUGUUGGCUUUUGAAAAAGCUGUUGCAUAGCAUUUGGCCUUUCAGAAAAGGCGUCUGUAGGUUUUUCUGUCUUUUCUCUUUGGAAAAGCAUUAUUCUGGAGAGCAAGUGGGUCCGAUAGAUUCCCACUAGGAACAGUAGAAUGCCCUUUCAAAAAUAAUUCCGGUUCUUUGAACCUCUAUUUUCGAAGGGGUCUGUUCUUAGUUCUUAGUAGGGGUCCAUGUAGGCCUGGGCAAUUCCUUUAGGAGCUAGCAUAUCUCCAUUAUUGUCUCCGCUACUAGAGGAAGAGGCUUCUUCGAGAAGCUGUAGGACGUCAUCUGUAACCUCUUUACUUUCAAGGUCAUUUAGAGCUUUCUUUAAUCUUUCUUUAAGCGCCUGUUUAUCCUUGGAGACGCCGGACGAAGAUACUGGUGAUUUAAGUUUUACAGGAGUUCUU